AUUGAACGCUGGCGGCAGGCCUAACACAUGCAAGUCGAACGGUAACAGGAAGAAGCUUGCUUCUUUGCUGACGAGUGGCGGACGGGUGAGUAAUGUCUGGGAAACUGCCUGAUGGAGGGGGAUAACUACUGGAAACGGUAGCUAAUACCGCAUAACGUCGCAAGACCAAAGAGGGGGACCUUCGGGCCUCUUGCCAUCGGAUGUGCCCAGAUGGGAUUAGCUAGUAGGUGGGGUAACGGCUCACCUAGGCGACGAUCCCUAGCUGGUCUGAGAGGAUGACCAGCCACGCUGGAACUGAGACACGGUCCAGACUCCUACGGGAGGCAGCAGUGGGGAAUAUUGCACAAGGGGCGCGAGCCUGAUGCAGACAUGCCGCAUGUAUGAAGAAGGCGUUCGGGUUGUAAAGUACUUUCAGCGGGGAGGAAGGGAGUAAAGUUAAUACCUUUGCUCAUUGACGUUACCCGCAGAAGAAACACCGGCUAACUCCGUG
Molecule: ribosomal RNA, 490 nt
Filed under: uncultured bacterium
Lineage: Bacteria
Description: partial 16S ribosomal RNA
Rfam family: Bacterial small subunit ribosomal RNA
Source: RNAcentral